Cricetulus griseus (Chinese hamster) is the source of this 129-nucleotide small nucleolar RNA. Ensembl annotates it as small nucleolar RNA SNORA61. Lineage: Eukaryota; Metazoa; Chordata; Mammalia; Rodentia; Cricetidae. The record is from Ensembl.
GCUCUCUGGUUUCCUUUCCUAUCAGAUUUUGACACUGGUUUGGGUGCUUGUAAAGAAGGAAGAAUACACUGAAGCUCGAUUCAUAGGAAUGUAGUCUGGUAUAGAGCAUAGGGCCAGAUUCACACAGGC